UUUGUUUCUUCUCCGCCCAGAAACCAAACCACAGAAACGAUUUCCUCUUCUUCGUUUCCUAUCGAAUCUAUGUUUUUCAUUUUAAAUUUUCCAUGUAAUUCAUCCCUUCCUCAAACAACGAAGCGAAACAUCGAACUAGGGAUUCUAAUUUUUCUUUUCUCCAAUUGAGGAUUUUUGGGUCAUCCAUGAAAAUGGUGGAAUCAGAUGAAGAAGAUAACUCCAACAAACUUGGGCGAAAUCUCUCAAAUUUUGGACUAACCGGGCACAAAUAGACUAAAUUCUCAUCUCAAAGAACCCAUAAUGGGCCUCACAUGUGGUUGAAGGAAGUUAAAUAUUACAACAGAAUGAGGUGAUCUUCGCUGAAAACAAUGGUGUUUAUGAACGUGCAAACCAACAGGUUGCCAGAUUAUCUUGCAGGUUGCCAGAUUAUCUUGCAAGUCCCACCCUGCCCAAAUGUUAAGUUGAAAGAGAAAUUAGUUUGAAGAAUUUACUGGAUGGACUGCAAAAAGGAAACCUCAAUUGAAGGAUGCUGAUGGGACAAAAAAAAUCUUGACCCCUGAAGUAAAUUUAAGCGAUGGAGAAUAUUCGUCAAAGCCUUAGAAUCAUCAAGCAAUGUUGACUUCGACAGUGGAUUGAUACCAAAACAGAUGGCAGUCAACACCUGUGUCGUCACCCAAUGACUUUGACAGUUGAUUCAUACCACAGCGGAUGACAAUCAACAAUCCAAUCUCUGUUGAAGCCGAAGAAUGAUUUAUGUAAACUUUAAGUUCGAUUCUUAGGUCUUAAUGUUUAUCAGUGUGGAACAAGUAAAUGAGAUUAUAUUUUUUUCCAGAACUGCUUAUAUGUGUCGCCUGUGCCUGCAUUUAUGUUUUACAAAUUAUUUAACAGAAUUGUUAGCAAUGCGCAAUCUUAGGUUCCUGCA
Molecule: long non-coding RNA, 922 nt
Organism: Papaver somniferum (opium poppy)
Lineage: Eukaryota; Viridiplantae; Streptophyta; Magnoliopsida; Ranunculales; Papaveraceae
Exons: 5
Source: RefSeq, a predicted model, not a curated record